GAUGAUUCAAAUUAAAAAUAACAAAUUCAAAAUAAGAAGUCUUCAUUGAGCUUGUAUAAUAGGAAAAAAAGAAAUAGAGAAAGUUUAUGUCACUCUGGAUACUUGCUUUUCCAGCAGGAUUAGAUGAGCUGCCUCUGAAGAAGCCCAUCCCAUCCCCUUGACUCUAAACAGAGCUGAGGCAACAUGUGUCUAACUUUCAGAUAGCUAAACAUGGCCAAGGAAAGUCCACCUGUAGUCCUCUAAGUCCCUUGACUUUCCCUUCGAUGCCUUUGAAGAAUGUUUGCCUUCUCUGCGCUCACAAGCACUUCACCGUCAGUGGGAAACAGGCAAUUGAUUGAUGUACAAGCCACUUCCCUCUGGGCUUGAACUGUGAAGGACGUGGUCAUCCACAGCUGUAGUAACUCUGAGAUGGCAGAGGAAGUGAAGGAGUGAGCAGGAAAAGGAAGCAAAUAUGCACAAAAUCCAUUUACUUUCUCAGCUGCAACUGGAAGUGUGUCAGGAGGGAACUCACGAAAGCUGGAAGAACUGGGUGGACAUGCUUGGAGGCAGGAAGUUGUGUAUUCAUAGAAGAGCUGUAGAACUUGGUCCCCUGCUUUAAACAGUGGCAUCUACCAAGGAAACAUUCCAAAGACCGUUUUUAACAAGUCGUGCAGCUUCGCAAUGCAAAAGGCAGAGCUAACGACCCGAAGUCCAUGCUGUGGGUGUCUGUGGGAGCCAUGAGUGCAGUGGUAGCACGGGGCCCCAGCCCAGCAGCC
RNAcentral lists this long non-coding RNA (755 nucleotides) under Numida meleagris (helmeted guineafowl). RNAcentral describes it as "lncRNA (ENSNMEG00000016794.1)". The record is from RNAcentral. Lineage: Eukaryota; Metazoa; Chordata; Aves; Galliformes; Numididae.